UGGGGAAUUUUGGACAAUGGGCGCAAGCCUGAUCCAGCCAUGCCGCGUGCGGGAAGAAGGCCUUCGGGUUGUAAACCGCUUUUGUCGGGGAAGAAACGCUCUGGGCUAAUACCCUGGGGUAAUGACGGUACCCGAAGAAUAAGCACCGGCUAACUACGUGCCAGCAGCCGCGGUAAUACGAAGGGUGCAAGCGUUACUCGGAAUUACUGGGCGUAAAGCGUGCGUAGGUGGUUCGUUAAGUCUGAUGUGAAAGCCCUGGGCUCAACCUGGGAAUGGCAUUGGAUACUGGCGAUCUAGAGUGCGGUAGAGGGCAGUGGAAUUCCCGGUGUAGCAGUGAAAUGCGUAGAGAUCGGGAGGAACAUCUGUGGCGAAGGCGACUGCCUGGACCAGCACUGACACUGAGGCACGAAAGCGUGGGGAGCAAA
RNAcentral lists this ribosomal RNA (425 nucleotides) under uncultured bacterium. RNAcentral describes it as "bacterial SSU rRNA". It matches the Rfam family "Bacterial small subunit ribosomal RNA", at positions 355 to 772 of the family's 1533-position model. The record is from RNAcentral.